CAGUCGCCGCGGAAUACAGAGGGUGCGAGCGUUAAUCGGAAUUACUGGGCGUAAAGCGUGCGUAGGCGGUUUGUUAAGUCUGCUGUGAAAUCCCCGGGCUCAACCUGGGAAUGGCAGUGGAUACUGGCAAGCUAGAGUGUGUCAGAGGAUGGUGGAAUUCCCGGUGUAGCGGUGAAAUGCGUAGAGAUCGGGAGGAACAUCAGUGGCGAAGGCGGCCAUCUGGGACAACACUGACGCUGAGGCACGAAAGCGUGGGGAGCAAACAGGAUUAGAUACCCCAGUAGUCCCUGUCUCUUAUACA
This 301-nucleotide ribosomal RNA is filed under the name uncultured bacterium. RNAcentral's name for it is "partial 16S ribosomal RNA". It matches the Rfam family "Bacterial small subunit ribosomal RNA", at positions 509 to 808 of the family's 1533-position model. The record is from RNAcentral.